UACGAAGGGGGCUAGCGUUGUUCGGAAUUACUGGGCGUAAAGCGCACGCAGGCGGUCUGUUAAAUUAGAAGUGAAAGCCCUGGGCUUAACCCGGGAAUUGCUUUUAAGACUGGCAGACUUGAAUCCGGAAGAGGGCAGUGGAAUUCCCAGUGUAGAGGUGAAAUUCGUAGAUAUUGGGAAGAACACCAGUGGCGAAGGCGACUGCCUGGUCCGGCAUUGACGCUCAUGUGCGAAAGCGUGGGGAG
This 245-nucleotide ribosomal RNA is filed under the name uncultured bacterium. Its description in RNAcentral is "partial 16S ribosomal RNA". It matches the Rfam family "Bacterial small subunit ribosomal RNA", at positions 524 to 768 of the family's 1533-position model. The record is from RNAcentral.